RNAcentral lists this transfer RNA (64 nucleotides) under Diachasmimorpha longicaudata. RNAcentral's name for it is "tRNA-Thr". Lineage: Eukaryota; Metazoa; Arthropoda; Insecta; Hymenoptera; Braconidae. The record is from RNAcentral.
AGUUAAAUAGUUUAAAUCAAAACAUUAAUUUUGUAAAUUAAUAAUAAAUUUUUUUUUUUAACUU